GUUUUUUUUUUUUUUUUUUUUAUAGCUUUUUUAUAUAGCACUUCUUUCAAGUUUAGCGCAUGCUCGGUGCACUAUUGUCCUAUCUCUCUAGUGGAAAAGAUGGGGUAGGGGGUAUCUGGGAGAAGGUUUCUGUGUUGCCUUUAGGCGCUCAGCAAGCACAACUCAUCCUGAGUGGGGCUUCCAACUAGAACCCCGUUAUUUGGUAGCUUAGUGGUUUGUUCCAUUUAGCCACUCCUACCCUGUUUUCAUAUAGCUGUGGUUGUAAAAAAAAAAAAAAAAAAA
This is a non-coding RNA of Biomphalaria pfeifferi, 282 nucleotides long. NCBI's taxonomy places the organism in Eukaryota, Metazoa, Mollusca, Gastropoda, Planorbidae. The record is from the annotation of a GenBank genome assembly.